CAGGCCUAACACAUGCAAGUCGAACGGUAACAGGGAGCUUGCUCCGCUGACGAGUGGCGAACGGGUGAGUAAUGUAUCGGAACGUACCAUUCAGUGGGGGAUAACGUAGCGAAAGUGACGCUAAUACCGCAUAUUCUGUGCGCAGGAAAGCAGGGGAUCGCAAGACCUUGCGCUGAUUGAGCGGCCGAUAUCAGAUUAGCUAGUUGGUGAGGUAAAAGCUCACCAAGGCGACGAUCUGUAGCGGGUCUGAGAGGAUGAUCCGCCACACUGGAACUGAGACACGGUCCAGACUCCUACGGGGAGGCAGCAGUGGGGGAAUUUUGGGACAAUGGGGGGCAACCCUGAUCCAGCCAUGCCGCGUGAGUGAAGAAGGCCUUCGGGUUGUAAAGCUCUUUCAGCCGGGAAGAAAAUGCAUGGGUUAAUACCCUGUGCAGAUGACGGUACCGGAAUAAGAAGCACCGGCUAACUACGUGCCAGCAGCCGCGGUAAUACGUAGGGUGCGAGCGUNAAUCGGAAUUACUGGGCGUAAAGCGUGCGCAGGCGGUUUUGUAAGACAGGCGUGAAACCCCCGGGCUUAACCUGGGAACUGCGUNUGUGACUGCAGGCUAGAGUACGGCAGAGGGGGUGGAAUUCCACGUGUAGCAGUGAAAUGCGUAGAGAUGUGGAGGAACACCAAUGGCGAAGGCAGCCCCCUGGGUCGAUACUGACGCUCAUGCACGAAAGCGUGGGUAGCAAACAGGAUUAGAUACCCUGGUAGUCCACGCCCUAAACGAUGUCAACUAGGUGUUGGGAGGGUAAAACCUUUUAGUACCGUAGCUAACGCGAGAAGUUGACCGCCUGGGGAGUACGGCCGCAAGGUUAAAACUCAAAGGAAUUGACGGGGACCCGCACAAGCGGUGGAUGAUGUGGAUUAAUUCGAUGCAACGCGAAAAACCUUACCUACCCUUGACAUGUCAGGAACUUUCCAGAGAUGGAUUGGUGCCCGAAAGGGAGCCUGAACACAGGUGCUGCAUGGCUGUCGUCAGCUCGUGUCGUGAGAUGUUGGGUUAAGUCCCGCAACGAGCGCAACCCUUGUCGUUAAUUGCCAUCAUUUAGUUGGGCACUUUAACGAGACUGCCCGGUGACAAACCGGAGGAAGGUGGGGAUGACGUCAAGUCCUCAUGGCCCUUAUGGGUAGGGCUUCACACGUCAUACAAUGGUCGGUACAAAGGGUCGCCAACCCGCGAGGGGGAGCCAAUCCCAUAAAGCCGAUCGUAGUCCGGAUUGUAGGCUGCAACUCGCCUGCAUGAAGUCGGAAUCGCUAGUAAUCGUGGAUCAGCAUGUCACGGUGAAUACGUUCCCGGGUCUUGUACACACCGCCCGUC
Molecule: ribosomal RNA, 1364 nt
Filed under: uncultured beta proteobacterium
Lineage: Bacteria; Pseudomonadati; Pseudomonadota; Betaproteobacteria
Description: 16S ribosomal RNA
Rfam family: Bacterial small subunit ribosomal RNA
Source: RNAcentral